This 774-nucleotide ribosomal RNA is filed under the name uncultured Neocallimastigales. Its description in RNAcentral is "partial large subunit ribosomal RNA". It matches the Rfam family "Eukaryotic large subunit ribosomal RNA", at positions 18 to 634 of the family's 3401-position model. Lineage: Eukaryota; Fungi; Neocallimastigomycota; Neocallimastigomycetes; Neocallimastigales. The record is from RNAcentral.
UCAGACGAUGCGUCAUGCAUAUCAAUAAGCGGAGGAAAAGAAACUAACAAGGAUUCCCUUAGUAACGGCGAGUGAAGCGGGAAGAGCUCAAAUUUGAAAUCUUCAAGGUUUUACCUUGACGAAUUGUAGUUUAAAGAAGUGUUUUCUGUUGAAGUUUUGGUAAAAGUUCUUUGGAAUAGGACAUCAUAGAGGGUGAGAAUCCCGUAUUUGACCAUUAUUUUCAGCUUUGUGAUACACUUUCAAAGAGUCGGAUUGUUUGGGAAUGCAGUCCAAAAUGGGUGGUAAAUUUCAUCUAAAGCUAAAUAUUGGCGAGAGACCGAUAGCGAACAAGUACCGUGAGGGAAAGAUGAAAAGAACUUUGAAAGGAGAGUUAAACAGUACGUGAAAUUGUCAAAAGGGAAGCGUUUGACACCAGUGUUGUUUUCUCGAAAAUCAAUUAAAAAUGGCUCGAUUUUGUAUUGCUGAGACCUUAAAAGUUCACUGUACAUUUUUCGUGUCUUUUUUAAUGCACUUUUCGUUUAACAAGUCAACAUCAGUUUCUUUUGUUGUAAAAAGGUCAUUGGAAGGUGGCUUUCUUUUCGGAGAAAGUGUUUAUAGCCUUUGACUCCUGCAAUCGGAGAGACUGAGGUCUGCAGCGUAGAUCCUUCGGGGUUAGAUACAUUUGUGCUAAGUUAUAGCUUUUUAUAGACAACUUGUUGACUAUGAUUAGUCUUGUAGCUUACUCGCUUAUGCUAUUUUACCUACGCUUAGGAUGUUGAGUCGUAGAGCACGCAG